This is a small nuclear RNA of Heterocephalus glaber (naked mole-rat), 104 nucleotides long. NCBI's taxonomy places the organism in Eukaryota, Metazoa, Chordata, Mammalia, Rodentia, Bathyergidae. The record is from Ensembl.
GUUCAUUUCAUGGGCACACAUACUAAAACUGAGCUAUAGAGAGAAGACUAGUAUGGCCCCUGCCCAGGGUUGACUUACAAAUGAAUGAAGCUUUCCAUACAGAA